Molecule: ribosomal RNA, 1949 nt
Filed under: human gut metagenome
Description: bacterial LSU rRNA
Rfam family: Bacterial large subunit ribosomal RNA
Source: RNAcentral
UCAAGCUACAAAGGGCUUACGGAGAAUGCCUUGGUACAUGGCGCCGAAGAAGGACGUGACAAGCUGCGAAAAGCUGCGCGGAGGAGCAAAUAUCCUAUGAAACGCAGAUAUCCGAAUGAGGGAACUCCAUACGAGUAAUAUCGUAUGAUCCGUUACUGAAUCCAUAGGUAACGGAGGGGAACCCGGGGAACUGAAACAUCUAAGUACCCGGAGGAAAAGAAAACAAAAGUGAUUCCGAAAGUAGUGGCGAGCGAAAUCGGAGGAGCCCAAACCGAAUGUAGUAAUAUAUUCGGGGUAAGGACCGCGAGAUAGCAUCAGGAAGAGUAGUCGAAUUACCUGGAAAGGUAAGACAAAGAGGGUGAAAUCCCCGUAGACGAAACUCAGAGAGAGCGAGCGGGAUCCAGAGUACGUCAGGACACGAGAAAUCCGGACGGAAGAAAUGGGGACCAUCCCAGAAGGCUAAAUACGACCAUGUGACCGAUAGCGAAGAGUACCGUGAGGGAAAGGUGAAAAGAACCCCGGGAGGGGAGUGAAAUAGAACCUGAAACCGUAAGCUUACAAGCAGACAGAGCGCCAUAGGAGUGUGAUGUCGUACUUUUUGUAGAACGGGCCGGCGAGUUACGAUGUGAUGCGAGGUUAAGUGUCAAAGACACGGAGCCGAAGCGAAAGCGAAUCUGAAGAGGGUGAGAAGUAUCAUGUCGUAGACCCGAAACCGAAUGACCUAACCAUGAGCAGGUUGAAGCAAUGGUAAAACGUUGUGGAGGACCGAACACACGCCUGUUGAAAUAGUCGGUGAUGACUUGUGGUUAGCGGAGAAAUUCCAAACGAAUUCGGAUAUAGCUGGUUCUCCUCGAAAUAGCUUUAGGGCUAGCCUCGCAUAUAAUCCUUGUCGGUAGAGCACUAAAUGGCCUAGGGGGCUUCACAGCCUACCGAAGCUUAUUAAACUCCGAAUGGCAAGGAAUUGAGUGCGGGAGUCAGACAGCGACAGCUAAGUGCCGUUGUCAAAAGGGAAACAGCCCAGAUCUACAGCUAAGGUCCCGAAGUACAGGUUAAGUGGAAAAGGAUGUGACAAUGCAUAGACAACCAGGAUGUUGGCUCAGAAGCAGCCACGCAUUAAAAGAGUGCGUAAUAGCUCACUGGUCGAGUGAUGUUGCGCCGAAAAUUAACGGGGCUCAAACCUGACACCGAAGCUUAGGAAUACGCGAAGCGUAUUGGUAGAGGAGCAAUGUAUACGAGCGGAAGCCGUACCGGAAGGAGCGGUGGAUUGUAUAGAAGAGAGAAUGCCGGCAUAAGUAGCGAGAGCGGAGCGAGAAACUCCGCCGUCGAAAGUCUGAGGUUUUCCGGGGAAGGUUCGUCCACCCGGAGUAAGUCGGGACCUAAGCGGAGGCCGAAAGGCGUACGUGAUGGACAACAGGUUGAUAAUCCUGUACUACCGAGAGAGCUAAUGAAGCAGUGACACGGAAAGAUAGAAGAAGCGCGCAGAUGGAAAAGCGCGUCCAAGCAGUGAGGGAGGCUUGUAGUAAAGUACGCAAGUCAUAAUCCUGGGCUGUGACGGGGAGUGGACCAAGGAAACGAAGUCUUUGAAUCUACGCCGGCGAGAAAAGCUGCUAAAUGUUUCGAGGUACCCGUACCGCAAACCGACACAGGUAGACGAGAAGAAAAUUCUAAGACGAACGGGAGAACCCUUGUUAAGGAACUCGGCAAAAUGACCCCGUAACUUCGGGAGAAGGGGAGCCACAGAGAUGUGGCCGCAGUGAAGAGGCCCAAGCGACUGUUUAUCAAAAACACAGGUUUCUGCUAAGGCGUAAGCCAAGGUAUAGGAGCUGACUCCUGCCCAGUGCCGGAAGGUCAAGGGGAUCCGUCAGCGCAAGCGAAGCGGUGAACUUAAGCCCCGGUGAACGGCGGCCGUAACUAUAACGGUCCUAAGGUAGCGAAAUUCCUUGUCGGGU